CGCAGCCGCGGUAAUUCCAGCUCCAAUAGCGUAUAUUAAAGUUGUUGCAGUUAAAAGCCCGUAGUUGAAUUUCGGGAUCAAUUUGCUGGUCGUGCCUUCGGUACGCACUGGUAUUAUUGGUUUCUCCUUUCUGAUGAAUCGCGAUGUCAUUAAUUUGGUGUCGUGGGGAAUCAGGACCGUUACUUUGAAAAAUUAGAGUGUUUAAAGCAGGCUCACGCUUGAAUACAUUAGCAUGGAAUAAUGAAAUAGGACGUUUGAUUCUAUUUUGUUGGUUUCUAGGAUCGACGUAAUGAUUAAUAGGGAUAGUUGGGGGCAUUAGUAUUCAAUUGUCAGAGGUGAAAUUCUUGGAUUUAUUGAAGACUAACUACUGCGAAAGCAUUUGCCAAGGAUGUUUUCAUUAAUCAAGAACGAAAGUUAGGGGAUCGAAGACGAUCAGAUACCGUCGUAGUCUUAACCAUAAACUAUGCCGACUAGGGAUCGGAUGAUGUAAUUUUUAAUGACUCAUUCGGCGCCUUACGGG
Molecule: ribosomal RNA, 520 nt
Filed under: uncultured Glomus
Lineage: Eukaryota; Fungi; Glomeromycota; Glomeromycetes; Glomerales; Glomeraceae
Description: SSU rRNA
Rfam family: Eukaryotic small subunit ribosomal RNA
Source: RNAcentral